UACGUAGGGGGCAAGCGUUGUCCGGAUUUAUUGGGCGUAAAGAGCUCGUAGGCGGUUUGGUAAGUCUGGUGUGAAAUCUCCACGCUCAACGUGGAGGGGCCACCCGAUACUGCCAUGACUGGAGUCCGGUAGAGGAGUGUGGAAUUCCCGGUGUAGCGGUGAAAUGCGCAGAUAUCAGGAGGAACACCGGUGGCGAAGGCGGGUCUCUGGGCCGUAACUGACGCUGAGGAGCGAAAGCGUGGGGAGCGAACAGG
This 254-nucleotide ribosomal RNA is filed under the name uncultured bacterium. Its description in RNAcentral is "partial 16S ribosomal RNA". It matches the Rfam family "Bacterial small subunit ribosomal RNA", at positions 524 to 776 of the family's 1533-position model. The record is from RNAcentral.